AAAACCACAGCUCCGCGCAGAGGGCUCGGCGUGCGCUCCGGAGAACAGCCUCGCCGCAUUCACUCUGAGUGAUGGUGAGCCGUCGUCGAAAGGUCCUGCAGGACAAUCUCGCCGCCCGUUCUCGUCGCCUGCAGAAAGACCUGGGGACCGGACGACAGAGGCUUGACGUUGAAGGUUUUGCUCUCUUGACCUGUUCGCCUGCAAGAUCAUGUUGAGGAAGUUGGUGGCGUGCAUCACAGUAUCAAGCACGCUGUGGAGG
This is a non-coding RNA of Lepisosteus oculatus (spotted gar), 259 nucleotides long. The record is from RefSeq and is a predicted model, not a curated record. NCBI's taxonomy places the organism in Eukaryota, Metazoa, Chordata, Actinopteri, Semionotiformes, Lepisosteidae.